Molecule: unclassified non-coding RNA, 680 nt
Filed under: Hevea brasiliensis (rubber tree)
Lineage: Eukaryota; Viridiplantae; Streptophyta; Magnoliopsida; Malpighiales; Euphorbiaceae
Source: RNAcentral
GGAUAGUGCAGUAGGCCGAUUACAAGUUUUUGAAGCACCAUUUCCUUGUGAAAUCCCUACAUGUGGUAUGUUAUGCUAUGAACCACCUAGGUCAGAAAGUUGUAUUCCGCUGGAUUCAGAUCUUCUAAAUAUCUGCCGGGCACAAUUUGAAUCUGAUGCAAGUCCAAGCCCAUCACCGGAUGGUUUCUUCACUCCACCUAGUACAAAGGGUCGUAACCUAUGUGCACAAACUCCUGAAUCUGUACUGAGAAUCGCUGCUAGAAGCUUCCCAAACACGCCCUCCAUAUUAAGGAAAAGAAAGACUCAAGGUGAACUUUCAACGCCAACUAAUAAAAUGGGGAAGUCAGAUGGAGAUCUCCGUAUGGAAAAACCUAUUGAUGCGCGUGAUGAGAUCCAAUAUGACAGCUCACACAAAUCUAGCAUGCAUAAUAGAGUUUCUUCAAGAAAUUCUUUCAAUGGUGGUCUGUACAACAGUCAAGCAUUUAAUGCCUCUCCUCCAUAUCGAUUAAGGUCCAAGCGGACAUCUAUCUUUAAGUCUGUGGAGAAGCAGCUUCGGUUUGCAGUCAACAAAGAGAAACAUGAUACAAGCAAUGGGUUCAGUGGUUCUACUGUUAAUGAGAUAUCACAUGCAGCCAAAGAUUGUUCACAGGAUACAGAUAAGAAGGUGGAGUAAAUGCUGA